This 254-nucleotide ribosomal RNA is filed under the name uncultured bacterium. RNAcentral's name for it is "partial 16S ribosomal RNA". It matches the Rfam family "Bacterial small subunit ribosomal RNA", at positions 524 to 776 of the family's 1533-position model. The record is from RNAcentral.
UACGAAGGGGGCUAGCGUUGCUCGGAAUCACUGGGCGUAAAGGGUGCGUAGGCGGGUCUUUAAGUCGGGUGUGAAAACUCCAGGCUCAACCUGGAGACGCCACCUGAUACUGCUGUGGCUAGAGUCCGGUAGGGGAGCAUGGAAUUCCUGGUGUAGCGGUGAAAUGCGCAGAUAUCAGGAGGAACACCAGUGGCGAAGGCGGUGCUCUGGGCCGGAACUGACGCUGAGGAGCGAAAGCGUGGGGAGCAAACAGG